This 226-nucleotide small RNA is filed under the name Streptococcus infantarius. RNAcentral describes it as "5' ureB small RNA". It matches the Rfam family "5' ureB small RNA", at positions 17 to 248 of the family's 292-position model. Lineage: Bacteria; Bacillati; Bacillota; Bacilli; Lactobacillales; Streptococcaceae. The record is from RNAcentral.
UGCUGAAAUAUAAUGGACAUGUAAAUCCAGUCCGCCAGCAGUUACAAUUAACCCUUCGGCUGAAAUAGCUUCGGUGCUAGAACCUACAACAAAAUCAAUGUUAUCCAUAUUAUCUGGAUUACCGCCCUUACCAAUGGCAACAAUUUUACCAUCUCUAAUACCAAUAUCCGCUUUAAUAAUACCAGUAUAGUCAAUAAUGGUAGCACCGCUAAUGAUAGUAUCAACA